GUCAGGACCGGCUGUCGAAAGGCCCGUGACCUGCCUCUUAAGAGCAGAGUGGUAAUUUAAUGAGAAGACCAAGUUUUAUCUCCAAACAGCAACUCCUUCUUUAGAUGAAGUGAGUUACAUCAAGAAAGGGACAAAAAGAACUUGAGCUGGAUUCAGGAAAACCAAGGCUGUUCAGUAAGAGUAAUAGCAGGAUCGGGUCCGUGUCUACCUGCGCAUGCUCAGGACGGGCCGCCAAGGUGGAAGAGAACUCGGGCGUCACUUGGCGUACUUGGUCGGAGUUGCUCCCUGGACUCCCCAGCGCGCCUGCGCUGCCUGGGAGUGGGGUCUGGAGUGACACUGGAGGACGGGGUUGCAGUCGGCGUCCCUCCCGCGCUUUUCCAGAGAAAGGGCGCACAUGGACGGUUCCCUGUGGAGCUAUCGAGGUUCCGAGGCUAGCUCCUAAUUUAAAGGCUUUCGGAGAACUGCGGAUACAAGCCCAGGGACUUCUCCCUAGGAAAACAAAAAUGUAACCUGAGCCGGAUCGUUAACAGCUUGCACCCGGACAAAAAGGGUGCCUACUCAGUACUUUGGCCACCUUAUGCGAAGAGUUGACUCAUUGGAAAAGACUCUGAUGCUGGGAGGGAUUGGGGGCAGGAGGAGAAGGGGACGACAGAGGAUGAGAUGGCUGGAUGGCAUCACCGACUCGAUGGACAUGAGUUUGGGUGAACUCUGGGAGUUGGUGAUGGACAGUGUGGCCUGGCGUGCUGCAGUUCAUGGGGUUGCAAAGAAUCGGACACGACUGAGCGACUGAACUGACUGACGGAACUAUUUUUUACAAGGAUGACAAAACUUGUACGAUAAUGUUUGCAUUUUUGUCUCAUCUCAAGAACUAUACUUUAAGCCUUUUAGUUCAGAUGGUGAAUUCAUCGGUUCCUUUAUAUUGUGAAAGGGUUGGCCUUGGUGUUUCUAAACCUUUGGUUAAUGUAAGUCCUAAUAAUUGGCCUCCUAAUGUCCAUUCUGCUCUGGUUGAGAAUCACCCUCUUCUGUGCAUGCCUGGGCACCAGGAAUGUUUGAUUGCGAUGGAUUUUAUGGAAAUAAUACCUAUUUUCAUAUUGAUGACUUGGAUAGCACCGUUGUCCUUUGCAGCUACUGGAGAGGUGGCCAGUCAGACCACGUUCAGUCAGACGACAGAAACUGUAUUCAUUAUGUAAGAAGAAAAUUUAAUAUUAAGAAUAAUGAACUUGGCGUAAAACUAAAUGGAAAACUGUAAGGGAAAAAAAGAACACUAAGACACCACGGCUACCAGGAGGAUAAGAUAAGGAUGGGUUUAGCAGGUGUGGCAGAAACCGCAAACUAGAUUCACAUGUUGCUAUGAAAGGGUGUUGCUGCCGGACUGAGGUAUUGGGACAAUGCCAACAAGAAUGAUGUACCUAAAAAGCCUGAAGGAAGCAAAUGAGAUGCACAAAGUUGAUUUUUUAUCCUUCUAGGAUUGCUUUUCAGCAGAAUCCAACGUGGAGACAGCUGGAAAAACAGAAAUGUGGUUUACAGGAUCUCAGCUCUACCAUCAGAAAGUGUAAUGUAGAAGUCUGGGUUUGGAGCUAAAAGACAAUAGGUUAAUAACUGACACAAUCUCUGAGAUGUUUUUGAGAUUUAAUAUGCCAUUUAUCUGUCUCUUAGACCUGCACAGGGUAAUACCUGAGUAGGAAUCUUAUGGUUUGCUUUUGUUUUUUAAUGUACUUUGAUUCAGAGAGUAAAUAACUUGUUUCAUAUUCUUGAUCUACUUCAUUGCCUUAUUUGACUUAAUGAGUGUCCUUGCUUUGUUCCUGUUCUUUUGUUCUUGUUGUGUUUUUUUUGUCUAUAAGAGUUAAAGAUAAUCCCAUUAUUCUAAUAGAGAUUUUUAUUAAGUAAGGGCUUUUGGUUUACCUAAAAUAGUGUAAUUAUCUUGAUUCCAAAUUAGAACACUUAAUGUAUUAUUCCAAGUUACUCUUUCAAAUGGUGGAAUUUUAAAUGUUUCCACACGUUAAAUUUUACAUAGUUUUAUUACUUUUUCUUUGAAUAAUGAAUCUUAGUUUUAAAAAUAUUCUUCAGACUAUGGGGUAUUUAAUUGGCCCUCUGUUAGAACAGCUUUAUUUUUAGUCUAAGCUACUGCCGAACUUCCAAACUUGGUUAAACAUUCUUAUCAUUCCUUUUUUAAUAUGGCUUAAUAUGCUAGUCUUUAACAUGAAAACAUUAUUUGCUCACGAGGAGUUCUCAUGAAAGUAGACUUUAUAUAAAUUGUGAUAUUAAACUUUCAGUAGGAAAUGGUCAAGUAGAGAGUAUUAACAAUGAAGUGUUCAAAAGAGCAAUG
Long non-coding RNA from Bos taurus (domestic cattle), 2326 nucleotides. The record is from Ensembl. Lineage: Eukaryota; Metazoa; Chordata; Mammalia; Artiodactyla; Bovidae.